GGCUGUAAUAAAGUAUACUAUGAUUACAAUGUCAUCUAGGAGAACGGCUGUAAAUAAGGUAUUAUAUAUAGUAUGAUUACAGUGUCAUCUAGGAGAACGGCUGUAAAUAAAGUAUACUAUGAUUACAAUGUCAUCUAGGAGAACGGCUGUAAAUAAAGUAUACUAUGAUUACAAUGUCAUCUAGGAGAACGGCUGUAAAUAAGGUAUAGUAUGAUUACAGUGUCAUCUAGGAAAACGGCUGUAAAUAAAGUAUAGUAUGAUUACAAUGUCAUCUAGGAGAACGGCUGUAAAUAAAGUAUAGUAUGAUUACAGUGUCAUCUAGGAGAACGGCUGUAAAUAAAGUAUAGUAUGAUUACAAUGUCAUCUAGGGGAACGGCUGUAAAUAAAGUAUACUAUGAUUACAAUGUCAUCUAGGAGAACGGCUGUAAAUAAAGUAUAGUAUGAUUACAGUGUCAUCUAGGAGAACGGCUGUAAAUAAAGUAUAGUAUGAUUACAGUGUCAUCUAGAACGGCUGUAAAUAAAG
This is a long non-coding RNA of Mytilus californianus (California mussel), 523 nucleotides long. RefSeq lists it as uncharacterized. The transcript is spliced from 4 exons. NCBI's taxonomy places the organism in Eukaryota, Metazoa, Mollusca, Bivalvia, Mytilida, Mytilidae. The record is from RefSeq and is a predicted model, not a curated record.